RNAcentral lists this ribosomal RNA (443 nucleotides) under Actinomadura sp. YN-10-4. RNAcentral's name for it is "bacterial SSU rRNA". It matches the Rfam family "Bacterial small subunit ribosomal RNA", at positions 55 to 515 of the family's 1533-position model. The record is from RNAcentral. Lineage: Bacteria; Bacillati; Actinomycetota; Actinomycetes; Streptosporangiales; Thermomonosporaceae.
CUGCAGUCGAGCGGAAGGCCCCUUCGGGGGUACUCGAGCGGCGAACGGGUGAGUAACACGUGAGCAACCUGCCCCUGACUCUGGGAUAAGCCCGGGAAACUGGGUCUAAUACCGGAUAUGACCACUCCAGGCAUCUGGUGGUGGUGGAAAGUUUUUCGGUUGGGGAUGGGCUCGCGGCCUAUCAGCUUGUUGGUGGGGUGAUGGCCUACCAAGGCGACGACGGGUAACCGGCCUGAGAGGGCGACCGGUCACACUGGGACUGAGACACGGCCCAGACUCCUACGGGAGGCAGCAGUGGGGAAUAUUGCGCAAUGGGCGGAAGCCUGACGCAGCGACGCCGCGUGGGGGAUGACGGCCUUCGGGUUGUAAACCCCUUUCAGCAGGGACGAAGCUAACGUGACGGUACCUGCAGAAGAAGCGCCGGCUAACUACGUGCCAGCAGC